Molecule: non-coding RNA, 84 nt
Filed under: Bacillus sp. (in: firmicutes)
Lineage: Bacteria; Bacillati; Bacillota; Bacilli; Caryophanales; Bacillaceae
Description: Bacillus sp. c-di-GMP-II sequence
Rfam family: Cyclic di-GMP-II riboswitch aptamer
Source: RNAcentral
GGACAAGUUGGAAGCAAUGAGAAUUCAAGGAAAAAUGGGCGCUUUAAUGAAUUCGAGCUAGUAGCGCAACCGGCCAGCACUUAC